UACGUAGGGGGCAAGCGUUGUCCGGAUUUAUUGGGCGUAAAGAGCGUGUAGGCGGCCAUGCAGGUCAGCUGUGAAGACUCGAGGCUCAACCUCGAGACGUCGGUUGAAACCGCUUGGCUAGAGUCCGGAAGAGGAGAGUGGAAUUCCCGGUGUAGCGGUGAAAUGCGCAGAUAUCGGGAAGAACACCCGUGGCGAAGGCGGCUCUCUGGGACGGUACUGACGCUGAGACGCGAGAGCGUGGGGAGCGAACAGG
RNAcentral lists this ribosomal RNA (253 nucleotides) under uncultured bacterium. Its description in RNAcentral is "partial 16S ribosomal RNA". It matches the Rfam family "Bacterial small subunit ribosomal RNA", at positions 524 to 776 of the family's 1533-position model. The record is from RNAcentral.